GAUGAACGCUGGCGGCGUGCCUAAUACAUGCAAGUCGAGCGAACAGACGAGGAGCUUGUUCCUCUGACGUUAGCGGCGGACGGGUGAGUAACACGUGGAUAACCUACCUAUAAGACUGGGAUAACUUCGGGAAACCGGAGCUAAUACCGGAUAAUAUAUUGAACCGCAUGGUUCAAUAGUGAAAGACGGUUUUGCUGUCACUUAUAGAUGGAUCCGCGCCGCAUUAGCUAGUUGGUAAGGUAACGGCUUACCAAGGCGACGAUGCGUAGCCGACCUGAGAGGGUGUUGGGCACACUGGAAACGAGACCACGGUCCGGACACCUAGGGAAGGCAGCAGAGGGAAACCUUCGGCAAUGGCGAAAGCCUGACGGAGCAACGCCGCGUGAGUGAUGAAGGUCUUCGGAUCGUAAAACUCUGUUAUUAGGGAAGAACAAAUGUGUAAGUAACUAUGCACGUCUUGACGGUACCUAAUCAGAAAGCCACGGCUAACUACGUG
This 496-nucleotide ribosomal RNA is filed under the name uncultured bacterium. RNAcentral's name for it is "partial 16S ribosomal RNA". It matches the Rfam family "Bacterial small subunit ribosomal RNA", at positions 28 to 507 of the family's 1533-position model. The record is from RNAcentral.